ACUCCUACGGGAGGCAGCAGUGGGGAAUUUUGGACAAUGGGCGCAAGCCUGAUCCAGCCAUUCCGCGUGAGUGAAGAAGGCCUUCGGGUUGUAAAGCUCUUUCGCAAGGGAAGAAACGAUGCAGACGAAUAAUCUGCGUUAAUGACGGUACCUUGAUAAGAAGCACCGGCUAACCACGUGCCAGCAGCCGCGGUAAU
This 197-nucleotide ribosomal RNA is filed under the name uncultured bacterium. Its description in RNAcentral is "partial 16S ribosomal RNA". It matches the Rfam family "Bacterial small subunit ribosomal RNA", at positions 335 to 524 of the family's 1533-position model. The record is from RNAcentral.